GGAGGAGAACGCCGGACCGGCUGCCCGCCAAUCUGGUCAGGUUCGAGAGGAAGCAGCCAUAACGGGAUGUGACGGGGUCGGUCGUUCUCCACCAGU
This 96-nucleotide signal recognition particle RNA is filed under the name Alphaproteobacteria bacterium. RNAcentral describes it as "signal recognition particle sRNA small type". It matches the Rfam family "Bacterial small signal recognition particle RNA". From Rfam's summary of the family: The signal recognition particle (SRP) is a universally conserved ribonucleoprotein involved in the co-translational targeting of proteins to membranes. Archaeal SRP consists of a 7S RNA and homologues of the eukaryotic SRP19 and SRP54 proteins. In most bacteria, the SRP consists of a 4.5S RNA and the Ffh protein (a homologue of the eukaryotic SRP54 protein). Lineage: Bacteria; Pseudomonadati; Pseudomonadota; Alphaproteobacteria. The record is from RNAcentral.